GACGUAGGGCGCGAGCGUUGUCCGGAUUUAUUGGGCGUAAAGGGCUCGUAGGCGGUUUGUCGCGUCUGCUGUGAAAACCCGAGGCUCAACCUCGGGCCUGCAGUGGGUACGGGCAGACUAGAGUGCGGUAGGGGAGAUUGGAAUUCCUGGUGUAGCGGUGGAAUGCGUUGAUAUUCACAGGAACUCCGGUGGCGAAGGCGGCUCGCUGGAUCUUUUCUGACGCUGAGGCGCGAAAGCUAGGGGAGCAAACGGG
RNAcentral lists this ribosomal RNA (253 nucleotides) under uncultured bacterium. Its description in RNAcentral is "partial 16S ribosomal RNA". It matches the Rfam family "Bacterial small subunit ribosomal RNA", at positions 524 to 776 of the family's 1533-position model. The record is from RNAcentral.